Molecule: ribosomal RNA, 476 nt
Filed under: uncultured organism
Description: partial 16S ribosomal RNA
Rfam family: Bacterial small subunit ribosomal RNA
Source: RNAcentral
UACACUCCUACGGGAGGCAGCAGUGGGGAAUAUCGCACAAUGGGCGCAAGCCUGAUGCAGCCAUGCCGCGUGUAUGAAGAAGGCCUUCGGGUUGUAAAGUACUUUCAGCGGGGAGGAAGGCGAUAAGGUUAAUAACCUUGUCGAUUGACGUUACCCGCAGAAGAAGCACCGGCUAACUCCGUGCCAGCAGCCGCGGUAAUACGGAGGGUGCAAGCGUUAAUCGGAAUUACUGGGCGUAAAGCGCACGCAGGCGGUCUGUCAAGUCGGAUGUGAAAUCCCCGGGCUCAACCUGGGAACUGCAUUCGAAACUGGCAGGCUAGAGUCUUGUAGAGGGGGGUAGAAUUCCAGGUGUAGCGGUGAAAUGCGUAGAGAUCUGGAGGAAUACCGGUGGCGAAGGCGGCCCCCUGGACAAAGACUGACGCUCAGGUGCGAAAGCGUGGGGAGCAAACAGGAUUAGAAACCCCUGUAGUCCCAUG